CAAUAGCGUAUAUUAAAGUUGUUGCAGUUAAAAAGCUCGUAGUUGGAUUUCUGUGAGAGUGCCGGUGUCGGCUGAUGCUUGUACGCAGGCGCUCUUACAUCCUUCUGUUAACUGUUCUUGGCAUUUUAUUGCUGGUUCAGGGCUCAGAUAUUUUACCUUGAGAAAAUUAGAGUGUUUCAGGCAGGCUUAUGCCGGAAUACAUUAGCAUGGAAUAAUGGAACAGGACCUGUGCGUCUCUCGGGGCGCCGGUCUCCGUUGUUGGUUUCGGGGACUAAUGUAAUGAUUAAUAGGGAUAGUUGGGGGCAUUAGUAUUUAAUAGUCAGAGGUGAAAUUCUCGGAUUUGUUAAAGACUAACUUAUGCGAAANCANNNGCGAAGGAUGUUUUCAUNAA
Molecule: ribosomal RNA, 391 nt
Filed under: uncultured eukaryote
Lineage: Eukaryota
Description: partial 18S ribosomal RNA
Rfam family: Eukaryotic small subunit ribosomal RNA
Source: RNAcentral